This 74-nucleotide transfer RNA is filed under the name Caudoviricetes sp. RNAcentral describes it as "tRNA-Asn". The record is from RNAcentral. Lineage: Duplodnaviria; Heunggongvirae; Uroviricota; Caudoviricetes.
GUCCCCUAUUGCCUACUUUUGAACCUCUGUCUGUUAAUCAGAGGGUCACUGGUUCAAGUCCAGUAGGGGGAGCA